AACGAACGCUGGCGGCAUGCCUAACACAUGCAAGUCGAACGAGACCUUCGGGUCUAGUGGCGCACGGGUGCGUAACGCGUGGGAACCUGCCCUUAGGUUCGGAAUAACUCCCCGAAAGGGGUGCUAAUACCGGAUAAUGUCUUCGGACCAAAGAUUUAUCGCCUUUGGAUGGGCCCGCGUUGGAUUAGCUAGUUGGUAGGGUAAAAGCCUACCAAGGCGACGAUCCAUAGCUGGUCUGAGAGGAUGAUCAGCCACACUGGGACUGAGACACGGCCCAGACUCCUACGGGAGGCAGCAGUGGGGAAUAUUGGACAAUGGGCGAAAGCCUGAUCCAGCAAUGCCGCGUGAGUGAUGAAAGCCUUAGGGUUGUAAAGCUCUUUUACCCGGGAUGAUAAUGACAGUACCGGGAGAAUAAGCUCCGGCUAACUCCGUG
This 433-nucleotide ribosomal RNA is filed under the name uncultured bacterium. RNAcentral's name for it is "partial 16S ribosomal RNA". It matches the Rfam family "Bacterial small subunit ribosomal RNA", at positions 29 to 507 of the family's 1533-position model. The record is from RNAcentral.